RNAcentral lists this ribosomal RNA (291 nucleotides) under uncultured prokaryote. RNAcentral's name for it is "partial 16S ribosomal RNA". It matches the Rfam family "Bacterial small subunit ribosomal RNA", at positions 505 to 796 of the family's 1533-position model. The record is from RNAcentral.
GUGUCAGCAGCCGCGGUAAUACGUAGGUGGCAAGCGUUGUCCGGAAUUAUUGGGCGUAAAGCGCGCGCAGGCGGUUCCUUAAGUCUGAUGUGAAAGGCCACAGCUCAACUGUGGAGGGCCAUUGGAAACUGGGGAACUUGAGGACAGAAGAGGAGAGCGGAAUUCCACGUGUAGCGGUGAAUGCGUAGAUAUGUGGAGGAACACCAGUGGCGAAGGCGGCUCUCUGGUCUGUAACUGACGCUGAGGCGCGAAAGCAUGGGUAGCGAACAGGAUUAGAAACCCGGGUAGUCC